UACAUGGGGUGCAAACGUUGCUCGGAAUCAUUGGGCGUAAAGCGCGCGUAGGCGGUUGCUUAUGUCGGAUGUGAAAGCCCUCGGCUUAACUGAGGAAGUGCAUCCGAAACUGGGCAGCUAGAGUACGAAAGAGGGUCGCGGAAUUCCCGGUGUAGAGGUGAAGUUCGUAGAUAUCGGGAGGAACACCGGUGGCGAAGGCGGCGACCUGGGUCGAGACUGACGCUGAGGCGCGAAAGCGUGGGGAGCAAACAGG
RNAcentral lists this ribosomal RNA (253 nucleotides) under uncultured bacterium. RNAcentral's name for it is "partial 16S ribosomal RNA". It matches the Rfam family "Bacterial small subunit ribosomal RNA", at positions 524 to 776 of the family's 1533-position model. The record is from RNAcentral.